This 468-nucleotide ribosomal RNA is filed under the name uncultured bacterium. RNAcentral describes it as "partial 16S ribosomal RNA". It matches the Rfam family "Bacterial small subunit ribosomal RNA", at positions 28 to 507 of the family's 1533-position model. The record is from RNAcentral.
GACGAACGCUGGCGGCGUGCUUAACACAUGCAAGUCGAACGGAAAGGCCCUGCUUUUGUGGGGUGCUCGAGUGGCGAACGGGUGAGUAACACGUGAGUAACCUGCCCUUGACUUUGGGAUAACUUCAGGAAACUGGGGCUAAUACCGGAUAGGAGCUCCUGCUGCAUGGUGGGGGUUGGAAAGUUUCGGCGGUUGGGGAUGGACUCGCGGCUUAUCAGCUUGUUGGUGGGGUAGUGGCUUACCAAGGCUUUGACGGGUAGCCGGCCUGAGAGGGUGACCGGCGACAUUGGGACUGAGAUACGGCCCAGACUCCUACGGGAGGCAGCAGUGGGGAAUAUUGCACAAUGGGCGGAAGCCUGAUGCAGCAACGCCGCGUGCGGGAUGACGGCCUUCGGGUUGUAAACCGCUUUCGCCUGUGACGAAGCGUGAGUGACGGUAAUGGGUAAAGAAGCACCGGAUAACUACGUG